AUUUACGAAUAGCUGCAACCACGAACUUUAUUGAAAUCUGUGAUCAGGUUUUUCCUGAAGCUGAAAAGAAUGGAAUUUUUAUCAAUAAAAUAUAUGACAGUGAACAAAUUCAACCUUCGUCGCUUGAUUCGCCGUUUUGUAAAUUGUUCUUUUCUGCUUUUGAUGAACUUGAACUAGAAACACGGGCUAUGAUUUUCCCGGCAGGAACCGAUGGAAGAUAUCUUCGCGGAG
Molecule: long non-coding RNA, 231 nt
Organism: Octopus sinensis (East Asian common octopus)
Lineage: Eukaryota; Metazoa; Mollusca; Cephalopoda; Octopoda; Octopodidae
Exons: 3
Source: RefSeq, a predicted model, not a curated record